This 305-nucleotide ribosomal RNA is filed under the name uncultured bacterium. Its description in RNAcentral is "bacterial SSU rRNA". It matches the Rfam family "Bacterial small subunit ribosomal RNA", at positions 335 to 659 of the family's 1533-position model. The record is from RNAcentral.
GGCCUCGGGACGCAGCAGUGGGGGAUAUUGCACAAUGGGGGAAACCCUGAUGCAGCGACGCCGCGUGGGUGAAGAAGCGCCUCGGCGCGUAAAGCCCUGUCAGCAGGGAAGAAAAUGACGGUACCUGAAGAAGAAGCCCCGGCUAACUACGUGCCAGCAGCCGCGGUAAUACGUAGGGGGCAAGCGUUAUCCGGAUUUACUGGGUGUAAAGGGGGCGCAGACGGCGAUGCAAGCCAGGAGUGAAAGCCCGGGGCCCAACCCCGGGACUGCUCUAGGAACUGCGUGGCUAGAGCGCAGGAGGGGCG